This 288-nucleotide ribosomal RNA is filed under the name Escherichia coli. RNAcentral describes it as "partial 16S ribosomal RNA". It matches the Rfam family "Bacterial small subunit ribosomal RNA", at positions 960 to 1248 of the family's 1533-position model. The record is from RNAcentral. Lineage: Bacteria; Pseudomonadati; Pseudomonadota; Gammaproteobacteria; Enterobacterales; Enterobacteriaceae.
CGCGAAGAACCUUACCUGGUCUUGACAUCCACGGAAGUUUUCAGAGAUGAGAAUGUGCCUUCGGGAACCGUGAGACAGGUGCUGCAUGGCUGUCGUCAGCUCGUGUUGUGAAAUGUUGGGUUAAGUCCCGCAACGAGCGCAACCCUUAUCCUUUGUUGCCAGCGGUCCGGCCGGGAACUCAAAGGAGACUGCCAGUGAUAAACUGGAGGAAGGUGGGGAUGACGUCAAGUCAUCAUGGCCCUUACGACCAGGGCUACACACGUGCUACAAUGGCGCAUACAAAGAGAA